RNAcentral lists this ribosomal RNA (518 nucleotides) under Bacillus sp. (in: firmicutes). RNAcentral describes it as "bacterial SSU rRNA". It matches the Rfam family "Bacterial small subunit ribosomal RNA", at positions 942 to 1479 of the family's 1533-position model. The record is from RNAcentral. Lineage: Bacteria; Bacillati; Bacillota; Bacilli; Caryophanales; Bacillaceae.
UGGUUUAUUCAGCACGCGAAGAACUUACGGUCUUGACACCUCUGACACCCUAGAGAUAGGCUUUCCUUCGCAGAGUGACAGGUGGUGCAUGGUUGUCGUCAGCUCGUGUCGUGAGAUGUUGGGUUAAGUCCCGCAACGAGCGCACCCUUGAUCUUAGUUCCAGCAUUCAGUUGGGCACUCUAAGGUGACUGCCGGUGACAAACCGGAGGAAGGUGGGGAUGACGUCAAAUCAUCAUCCCCUUAUGACCUGGGCUACACACGUGCUACAAUGGACAGAACAAAGGGCUGCAAGACCGCAAGGUUUAGCCAAUCCCAUAAAUCUGUUCUCAGUUCGGAUCGCAGUCUGCAACUCGACUGCGUGAAGCUGGAAUCGCUAGUAAUCGCGGAUCAGCAUGCCGCGGUGAAUACGUUCCCGGGCCUUGUACACACCGCCCGUCACACCACGAGAGUUUGCAACACCCGAAGUCGGUGAGGUAACCUUUAUGGAGCCAGCCGCCGAAGGUGGGCAGAUGAUUGAA